Molecule: long non-coding RNA, 607 nt
Organism: Carassius auratus (goldfish)
Lineage: Eukaryota; Metazoa; Chordata; Actinopteri; Cypriniformes; Cyprinidae
Exons: 3
Source: RefSeq, a predicted model, not a curated record
GUUUGCUUUCCUUUGCAAUCCGACCAAAUUACUGUUUCAUGCACGAUUGGUUGCUGUGUUAAAUAAUUUGCAUAGCAACAAGACACUGAUUGGUCGAAUUCGGCAGCGCUGCUGCAGCCGUUACAGAAUUUUCUCUGUCAUUACUGAGAGCGGGAAGAAGCACUUCUGAAACACACGUCCAGGCAUUUUGCUUCUGUCUUUUUCGACUUAAAAGCUCAAAAAUAUUAAGAAAGUGGAUUUAAAUGAUUAAAUAGUUUGCAGAUGAAAUGUAAAGGCAUAGCAACACCACAUUGAUUGGCCAAAGAAUUUUCAAACAGAACGGAGAGCGGGAAGCAGACGACCAAGGCUUUGUCGUCGAUGUCGUCUGAAGAACUCCUAUUAAAAUUAACAGAGGCCGGACUCGAAUUCUCAGAGGAAGAAAACAGAAAAUUCAAAGAUUUUGAAGUUGAUGGGGAAACUGUCAGUGCUGGUCUCACGGAUCACAUGAUAGCACAACUUUUUGAGAAGUCUUUUAAGAAGCAAGUUAAAUUUAUCAAACUUAUCCAACAACUUGAAGAGAACCAGAGUGAAGAACUGUCUGAAAGUCUGACUACACCUUCAGCUUUGA